Long non-coding RNA from Drosophila teissieri, 651 nucleotides. RefSeq lists it as uncharacterized. The transcript is spliced from 3 exons. The record is from RefSeq and is a predicted model, not a curated record. NCBI's taxonomy places the organism in Eukaryota, Metazoa, Arthropoda, Insecta, Diptera, Drosophilidae.
AAUUCAUAUUGCCCAUAUGUGAACUCACACACCAUACACACACACACACUCACUUACUGAGACACCGUGUGCCACACGCCCAUUUGCACACAUGGCCAACCGGAUGUUGCAGCCAUCUUUGUCAUCUUUUUCAAUCUCAGCCUUGGCUAAGGUCGCUCCUGCCAUCCGAUGUCAUCCCAUCGACCAGAAAGAGACAGCAGCAGCGAGCGAGCGAGCGAGAAAGAGCCGGGUGGCUGGCGAUGCCGUGAAGUCGUGAAUUUAUAACAAAACGCUAGACUCGGCGACUCUGACCGACUGGUUUGGCGUGUUGGCCCGGCUGAAAUGGUUUUUUUUGUUGUUUUUAUGGCCAUAACAAGCAGGCAAGCAGAGCAGCAACAACUGUAUCAAAAGCAUACAAAUGCCGCAACCCAAAAACCCACUACACAAAUUCUGAAUGGGCAAAACAUCUGAAUAUUCGAGAUGGUCGAGAGAGAGAGGGCGAGAGGGGUGGAGAGCCGUCGAUAAGGAAGUGCGGAUGUCUUUGGGGUCCCUGCUUGGCAAGAUGGAAAUCUUAAUCCAAACGGAUGGGAUGGGAAUCUGGAUGGGAAGUCGAGUAACACACACACACUCGUAAACGGACUUCUUGGGAACCCAGGCACUUCCGGAAAGGAU